AGGAGAAUGACGGAGAGGGAGGUGCAUGACUGAGACCCUGAGGGAUGGGGAGGAUGUGGGGGAGCAAAGACAGGAAGAAAAAGCACCAAGACAACAAUGCCAGCAACGGGGGCAUUCAGGCCACGAGACUCAUAGUAUCUGGAGACAAGGAGAUACUGGCAAGGAAGGAACACAGCGACCCCUGAAAAGCUUUUUGGCUCAAGACACUAAGUCUACUCGUUGCUCUAAGGUUCCCCAGCAAACUAGGGUUUGACACCACAUGGGAUGGGUUCCCUCUGCACGUGGACCGUCCAUCAGCCGAGCCUGGUGUCACGACAAGCUACCAUCACGUCUUCCACACUGCCCACGUUUAGAACAGCAGGAGUUAUAGGCUGGAGGAGCAUAGGGGCCAAUCAAAGAGGGCCAGGAAGCAGCGACGUCAUCUUUCCUCUCUCCUGCCCACCUCAAUCUCAUCCUUGGUGGAGGGGCACAGGCCACGGAAGGCAGACCGCCCCAGCCCAUCUCUCCCUGGGUCUUCAGUAACCCACUCUCUAUCCGGGAAGAAAGACUCCCAGGCAGGGUGACUUUAGCGCCAAGUCAUCCAGUCUGAGCUCCAAAGUGCUUUCAUCAGGAGGGAAAUGAUGGCUUUGUGUUAACAGGAAAUGGACCAGCGGCUGCUCAAAGACUCCCGUUGCCCUUCGGCAAAGACCCCUCUCCAGGCCUCCAGCAGAUGCGCUUCCUUCAUGAGAAGAGGGCCUUCUGCCUUCUAGAGGCCCCCUUCCCCAGAAAUAGGGCCUUUCAUCUCUUCCUGAGGUUUUCUUCCAAGAGCCCUUACCUGUCACCAGGAUGGUGGAUGAACCUGGAACACAUCUGCCCUUCUAACAGGCUCACCGUGUGGCUAAAAGCUUCCUUCCUUGAUUCGGAAUCUGACCUCAGCAGCCACACCUGCCACUUUUGGGAUGUGUCUCUUAAAGGUCCCUCCCUUACCCUCCUUCCCCACCCCAACUCUGCCCGCAGUCCCCCAGACAUUUAUCUGUUUGUUGCAACUGUUGGCUCUGUUUGAGACUUCCGGUCCUCUCCCCAGUGUCCUUACAGCCCCACAUAAACCAGCUCCUACAAGUGAAAUCAAGGUGGGUGGAGAAGGCAAAGCUUUGCCAAGCUUCAUCAGAAACUUCCACUGCAGUCUCAUUUUGAGCCCCAUCAGAAAGGUGUGUGGUCUCUACGAUAUAUGCAGUAUUUUCUAGAUAUUCUGCACACCACAGACCUGCCCAUGUUGCUUACCUAGUAACGUUCUAAAAAAGAAUCCUUCCCUAAAUAUCAUUUUGCGAGUUCCCAAAGAGGUGGCAAAAUAUUCAAUGAGUCUUUAAGAAAUAGCUCAGAAAGUUGGGAUAAAAUAAAAAAAGCCAACGGAAU
This 1392-nucleotide long non-coding RNA is filed under the name Sus scrofa (pig). RNAcentral's name for it is "lncRNA (ENSSSCG00000049741.2, ENSSSCG00110013280.1)". Lineage: Eukaryota; Metazoa; Chordata; Mammalia; Artiodactyla; Suidae. The record is from RNAcentral.